RNAcentral lists this ribosomal RNA (274 nucleotides) under uncultured bacterium. RNAcentral describes it as "partial 16S ribosomal RNA". It matches the Rfam family "Bacterial small subunit ribosomal RNA", at positions 238 to 509 of the family's 1533-position model. The record is from RNAcentral.
ACAUUAGCUUGUUGGCGGGGCAACGGCCCACCAAGGCUACGAUGCGUAGGGGUUCUGAGAGGAAGGUCCCCCACACUGGUACUGAGACACGGACCAGACUCCUACGGGAGGCAGCAGUGAGGAAUAUUGGUCAAUGGACGGUAGUCUGAACCAGCCAAGUCGCGUGAGGGAUGACGGCCCUACGGGUUGUAAACCUCUUUUGCCGGGGAGUAACCCGCCCCACGUGUGGGGCGCUGAGAGUACCCGGCGAAUAAGCAUCGGCUAACUCCGUGCC